RNAcentral lists this unclassified non-coding RNA (358 nucleotides) under soil metagenome. RNAcentral describes it as "partial contains 5.8S ribosomal RNA, internal transcribed spacer 2, and large subunit ribosomal RNA". The stretch from base 6 to 121 matches the Rfam family "5.8S ribosomal RNA", at positions 39 to 154 of the family's 154-position model. The record is from RNAcentral.
GAUGAAAGAACGUAGCGAAAUGCGAUAAGUAAUGUGAAUUGCAGAAUUCAGUGAAUCAUCGAAUCUUUGAACGCACAUUGCGCCCGCUGGUAUUCCGGCGGGCAUGCCUGUUCGAGCGUCAUUUCAACCCUCAAGCUCUCCGGAGUUUGGUGUUGGGGCGCCUGGGGCUUUUCGACCUCAGGGCCCUCAAGUCCAUCGGCGGGACCGCCAGGACACUGAGCGCAGUAGUAUUAUUUCGCUCGGUAGGAUCUUCCACGGCGGGUCGAUCUGGCCGCUAAACCCCCCAAUUCUCACCAAAGGUUGACCUCGGAUCAGGUAGGAAUACCCGCUGAACUUAAGCAUAUCAAUAAGCGGAGGA